UUAGUUCAGUCGGUAGAACGGCGGACUGUUAAUCCGUAUGUCGCUGGUUCAAGUCCAGCA
Molecule: transfer RNA, 60 nt
Filed under: Aeromonas salmonicida
Lineage: Bacteria; Pseudomonadati; Pseudomonadota; Gammaproteobacteria; Aeromonadales; Aeromonadaceae
Also listed under: 8 other names
Rfam family: tRNA
About the family: Transfer RNA (tRNA) molecules are approximately 80 nucleotides in length. Their secondary structure includes four short double-helical elements and three loops (D, anti-codon, and T loops).
Source: RNAcentral